UACGUAGGGUGCGAGCGUUAAUCGGAAUUACUGGGCGUAAAGCGUGCGCAGGCGGUUCGCUAAGACAGGUGUGAAAUCCCCGGGCUUAACCUGGGAAUGGCGCUUGUGACUGGCGGGCUUGAGUACGGCAGAGGGAGGUGGAAUUCCACGUGUAGCAGUGAAAUGCGUAGAUAUGUGGAGGAACACCGAUGGCGAAGGCAGCCUCCUGGGCCAGUACUGACGCUCAUGCACGAAAGCGUGGGGAGCAAAC
This 250-nucleotide ribosomal RNA is filed under the name uncultured bacterium. RNAcentral describes it as "partial 16S ribosomal RNA". It matches the Rfam family "Bacterial small subunit ribosomal RNA", at positions 524 to 773 of the family's 1533-position model. RNAcentral also lists the same sequence under 1 other name. The record is from RNAcentral.